This 406-nucleotide unclassified non-coding RNA is filed under the name Hevea brasiliensis (rubber tree). Lineage: Eukaryota; Viridiplantae; Streptophyta; Magnoliopsida; Malpighiales; Euphorbiaceae. The record is from RNAcentral.
UUGUUCAAGAAGUUUAAGAAAUCUAUUUCUUUUUUGGGUUAGCGCAAGAAUGAGAAUGAUGAUGGGUGUGUGUAGAUGGUAAUUAAUUAAUGGUGAGACAUUUUUGUUGAUGAUGAUGAUGAUUGGUAAUUAAAGCAAGGGUGAUGAAAGAAAUAGAAAGGAGAAUAAGAAGAAGAACAGUAACUAAGACUGGGUUUUUUGCUAUGAAAGAUGGCAGGAAAAGAAGAGGAAUGAGAAAUCUGCUCAAAAGAAUUACCACCCAAAGCCAUAAACUGGCGAAAAAAUUUCACAAGAUUGCACUCCUCUCUCUCUCGCUCUCUCUGUAUCUACCAAUCUACCUUAUUUUUUUGGUGAAAGAGGGAGUGGAUGGAAUUAAAGGAGAGUGUAAGACUUGAGAGAGUGAGUG